AAGGGAGAGGAAUACGUGGAUACCUACCCUCAGGUUCAGGAUAGCCAUGGGAAACUAUGGGUAAUACUGAAUAAUAUCUCCGGAUCAAAGGUGUGAUUCCACCUGAGGAGGGGUCCGCGUCCUAUUAGCUAGUUGGUGAGGUAACGGCUCACCAAGGCGAAGAUGGGUAUGGGAUGUGAGAGCAUGAUCCCACUCACUGGGACUGAGACACUGCCCAGACACCUACGGGUGGCUGCAGUCGAGAAUCUUCGGCAAUGGGGGCAACCCUGACCGAGCGACGCCGCGUGCGAGAUGAAGGCCUUCGGGUUGUAAAUCGCUGUCAGAGGGGAGGAAAUGCUAGUGGGUUCUCCCACUAGUUUGACCUAGCCUCAGAGGAAGGACGGGCUAAGUUCGUGCCAGCAGCCGCGGUAAGACGAACCGUCCAAACGUUAUUCGGAAUCACUGGGCUUAAAGGGUGCGUAGGCGGUCCGGGAAGUUGGGUGUGAAAGCCCUCGGCUCAACCGAGGAAUUGCGUCCAAAACUGCCGGGCUGGAGGGAGACAUAGGUGAGCGGAACUUAGGGU
RNAcentral lists this ribosomal RNA (562 nucleotides) under uncultured bacterium. Its description in RNAcentral is "bacterial SSU rRNA". It matches the Rfam family "Bacterial small subunit ribosomal RNA", at positions 102 to 674 of the family's 1533-position model. The record is from RNAcentral.